UGGGGAAUAUUGCACAAUGGGCGAAAGCCUGAUGCAGCAACGCCGCGUGAGGGACGAAGGCCUUCGGGUUGUAAACCUCUUUUAGUAGGGAAGAAGCGAAAGUGACGGUACCUGCAGAAAAAGCACCGGCUAACUACGUGCCAGCAGCCGCGGUAAUACGUAGGGUGCAAGCGUUGUCCGGAAUUAUUGGGCGUAAAGAGCUCGUAGGCGGUUUGUCGCGUCUGCUGUGAAAACCCGAGGCUCAACCUCGGGCCUGCAGUGGGUACGGGCAGACUAGAGUGCGGUAGGGGAGAUUGGAAUUCCUGGUGUAGCGGUGGAAUGCGCAGAUAUCAGGAGGAACACCAAUGGCGAAGGCAGAUCUCUGGGCCGUAACUGACGCUGAGGAGCGAAAGCAUGGGGAGCGAACAGGAUUAGAUACCCUGGUAGUCCAUGCCGUAAACGUUGGGAACUAGAUGUGGGGACCAUUCCACGGUCUCCGUGUCGCAGCUAACGCAUUAAGUUCCCCGCCUGGGGAGUACGGCCGCAAGGCUA
RNAcentral lists this ribosomal RNA (531 nucleotides) under uncultured bacterium. RNAcentral describes it as "bacterial SSU rRNA". It matches the Rfam family "Bacterial small subunit ribosomal RNA", at positions 355 to 896 of the family's 1533-position model. The record is from RNAcentral.